This 1221-nucleotide ribosomal RNA is filed under the name metagenome. Its description in RNAcentral is "bacterial SSU rRNA". It matches the Rfam family "Bacterial small subunit ribosomal RNA", at positions 8 to 1192 of the family's 1533-position model. The record is from RNAcentral.
AGAGUCUGAUCCUGGCUCAGAAUGAACGCUGGCGGCGUGCUUAACACAUGCAAGUCGCACGAGAACGCUUUAGCUUGCUAAAGCAAGUAAAGUGGCGCACGGGUGAGUAACGCGUGGGCAAUCUACCUCCGAAUCGGGGAUAACAUUGCGAAAGCGAUGCUAAUACCGGAUGACAUCCUGAAGGCUUUGGUUUUAAGGAUCAAAGGUGGCCUCUACAAGUAAGCUACUGUUUGGAGAUGAGCCCGCGUACCAUUAGCUUGUUGGUAGGGUAACGGCCUACCAAGGCGACGAUGGUUAGCUGGUCUGAGAGGAUGAUCAGCCACACUGGAACUGACACACGGUCCAGACUCCUACGGGAGGCAGCAGUGAGGAAUUUUGCGCAAUGGGGGAAACCCUGACGCAGCAACGCCGCGUGAGUGAUGAAGGCUUUCGGGUCGUAAAGCUCUGUCAAGUGGGAAGAAACCACGAGGUGAUAAUAUCGCUUUGUGCUGACGGUACCACUGAAGGAAGCACCGGCUAACUCCGUGCCAGCAGCCGCGGUAAUACGGGGGGUGCAAGCGUUAUUCGGAAUCAUUGGGCGUAAAGGGCGCGUAGGCGGUUUGUUAAGUCAGAUGUGAAAGCCCGGGGCUCAACCCCGGAAGUGCAUUUGAUUCUGGCGGACUUGAGUAUGGGAGAGGGAAGUGGAAUUCCUGGUGUAGAGGUGAAAUUCGUAGAUAUCAGGAGGAACACCGGUGGCGAAGGCGACUUCCUGGACCAAUACUGACGCUGAGGCGCGAAGGCGUGGGCAGCAAACAGGAUUAGAUACCCUGGUAGUCCACGCAGUAAACGGUGAUCACUAGGUGUAGCGGGUAUUGACCCCUGCUGUGCCGCAGUUAACGCAUUAAGUGAUCCGCCUGGGGAGUACGGCCGCAAGGUUAAAACUCAAAGGAAUUGACGGGGGCCCGCACAAGCGGUGGAGCAUGUGGUUUAAUUCGACGCAACGCGAAGAACCUUACCUGGGUUUGACAUCUCGGGGAUUUUUUGGAAACAAGAAAGUGCCCCUCGGGGAGCCCGAAGACAGGUGCUGCAUGGCUGUCGUCAGCUCGUGUCGUGAGAUGUUGGGUUAAGUCCCGCAACGAGCGCAACCCUUAUCUUUAGUUACCAUCACUUCGGGUGAGCCUGCGAGCACUCUAGCCAGACUGCCUGUACAAGCAAGAGGAAGGUGGGGACGACGUCAAGUCA